AAGAUGAAUAUUGUGUUGUUUCUAUUUUGAGCCUUUAGUUUUGAGGUGUGAAAUGAUCGUCAUGCCCUUAGAGUGGGUUUUGGGGUGUGACAAUACUCUUAACCACCAGCUUGGUCGAGAGACAAUCAUAAAGUAACAAGUCUCACAUGAGGUAUAAACAUAGAUACAAGGGUGUUUGUUUGCUAAAAGAGGCUUGGGACUAUUCUAAAGAUGCUU
RNAcentral lists this long non-coding RNA (216 nucleotides) under Vitis vinifera (wine grape). Its description in RNAcentral is "long non-coding RNA (VVIN_LNC005404)". Lineage: Eukaryota; Viridiplantae; Streptophyta; Magnoliopsida; Vitales; Vitaceae. The record is from RNAcentral.